This 205-nucleotide unclassified non-coding RNA is filed under the name soil metagenome. RNAcentral describes it as "partial contains 5.8S ribosomal RNA, internal transcribed spacer 2, and large subunit ribosomal RNA". The record is from RNAcentral.
AACUGAUACUACCUGCGGGAACCUGCGGAGGGAUCAUUCAUAAUAAAAGUGGAAUUAAUUAAUAUGGCACUUUUAAAACAAUCCAUAUCCACCUUGUGUGCAAUGUUAUUAUUAUUAUCAACUCUUUUAAAAUACUAAUUAUCUGAAAUUAUUUUAUGAAUUUUUUUACUUAAUUCAAAAAUAUAACUUUUAACAAUGGAUCUCU